This 497-nucleotide ribosomal RNA is filed under the name uncultured bacterium. RNAcentral describes it as "SSU rRNA". It matches the Rfam family "Bacterial small subunit ribosomal RNA", at positions 26 to 518 of the family's 1533-position model. The record is from RNAcentral.
AGAUUGAACGCUGGCGGCGUGCCUAACACAUGCAAGUCGAGCGGUAACAGGUGUAGCAAUACAUGCUGACGAGCGGCGAACGGGUGAGUAAUGCUUUGGAAUCUUCCCAGUAGUGGGGAAUAACCAGUCGAAAGAUUGGCUAAUACCGCAUACGUCUGUAAAGGGAAAGCGGGGGCUCGUAAGACCUCGCGCUAUUGGAUGAGCCAAAGUCGGAUUAGCUAGUUGGUGGGUAACGGCCUACCAAGGCGACAAUCCGUAGCUGGUCUGAGAGGACGACCAGCCACACCGGAACUGAGACACGGUCCGGACUCCUACGGGAGGCAGCAGUGGGGAAUAUUGGACAAUGGGGGAAACCCUGAUCCAGCGACGCCGCGUGUGUGAAGAAGGCCUGCGGGUUGUAAAGCACUUUUAGUGGGGACAAAAAGCUACGGAUUAAUACUCUGUGGUCUUGAUUUAACCCAAGAAAAGCACCGGCUAACGUCUGCGCCAGCAGCCGC